AUGUCAAGGUUGCGCAAUAUAAUAGCUAAAGUCACCAAAAUCAACCACAUGAGACAACUCCAUGCACACCUCAUUCAUUACUCUCUUCACGGCCAAAGCUACUGGGUGGCCCUGCUAAUUAAUCUAUGCACGCGCCUCCAUGCUCCGCCGCCCUACACCCGUUCCAUUUUCGAAUCAGCACAGGAACCGAACAUCUUUGUUUUCACCAGCAUGCUCAAGUACCAUUCCCAUUUGGGCGCCCAGAGUGAUGUUCUCCAAGUGUUUGUUGAAAUGCAGAAGUUUGGAGUGAGCCCCGAUGCGUUUGUGUACCCGAUACUGAUCAAAGCGACAGGGGAGGGUGGUGUUGCGUUCCACGCAAAGGUUAUUAAAAUGGGUAUUGAUUCCGAUAGGUUUAUACGCAAUGCCGUGAUGGAUAUGUAUGGAAAAUACGGGCCUAUUCAGAUUGCCAGGGAACUGUUUGAUGAAAUGCCUGAGAGGGCUGUUGCAGAUUGGAAUUCGAUUAUUUCUGGAUACUGGAAUUGGAAGAAUGAGGUUGAAGCGCGGAGGAUGUUUGAUUUGAUGCCAGAGAAGAAUGUGAUUACUUGGACAACGAUGGUGAGUGGGUACUCGAGAAUGAAGGAUUUGGUGAAUGCUAGGAGGUAUUUUAAUAAAAUGCCCGAGAAAAGCAUCGUUUCAUGGAAUGCAAUGCUUUCUGGCUAUGCUCAGAAUGGGUAUAAUGAGGAGGCAAUAAGGUUGUUCACUGAAAUGGUGAGUGUUGGAGUUAUUCCUGAUGAAACAACAUUGGUUACUGUUAUUUCUUCUUGUUCUUCAGAAGGUAUUCCUGCCCUUGCUGAGUGGCUUGUCAGUAUGAUCAACAAAAAGAGCAUUCAUUUGAAUUGUUUUGUCAAAACUGCACUUCUUGACAUGUAUGCUAAGUGUGGAAAUCUAGAGAUGGCUAGAAAGAUUUUUGAUGAGUUGGGUUCAUAUAGGAACUCUGUUACUUGGAAUGCAAUGAUUUCUGCAUAUGCAAGACACGGUAAUUUGGCUUUAGCUAAAGAACUCUUUGAUAGAAUGCCAGGGAGGAAUGUGGUGUCCUGGAAUUCUAUAAUAGCUGCUUAUGCACAGAAUGGACAAUCAAAAAUAGCAAUUGAUCUCUUCAAAGAGAUGAUUGAACAGGGAAUGAUUCCUGAUGAAGUAACUAUGCUUAGUGUAAUCUCAGCUUGCGGCCAUCUUGGGGCUUUGGAAUUUGGCAAAGAGAUGGUCAAUUUCCUGAUGAAGAACAAAAUUAAAUUGAACAUUUCAGGUUACAAUUCCUUGAUUUUCAUGUAUUCUAAGUGCGGAAGCAUGGAAGAUGCAAAAUCGGUGUUUCAAUCUUUGGAAACCAGAGAUGUGGUGUCCUAUAAUGCACUCAUUACAGGUUUGGCAGCUUAUGGUAAUGGCAAUGAAGCCCUUGAUUUACUCUGGAAGAUGAAGGAAGAAAACCUUAAACCAGAUCGGAUAACGUAUACAGGAGUUUUAACAGCUUGCAGUCAUGCAGGAUUGGUGGAUGAAGGCCAAAGAAUUUUCGAAUCAAUCAAAUCUCCUGAUGUUGAUCAUUAUGCAUGCCUAGUGGACUUGUUAGGUAGAAAUGGCAAACUUGAUGAAGCAAAGGGGUGGAUUGAUAGAAUGCCACUGCAUCCUCAUGCUGGUGUAUAUGGUGCACUUUUAAAUGCUAGCUGUAUUCACAAACGAAUUGAUCUUGGAGAGUUUGCAGCAACUAAACUCUUUGAGAUAGAACCAGAAAACUCAGGCAACUAUAUCUUGCUUUCUAAUAUAUAUGCUUCAGUAAGGAGGUGGGAAGAUGUAGAAAGAAUCAGAGGAUUGAUGAGUAAAGUGGGAAUUUUGAAGACAACUGGGUGGAGUUGGGUGGAACAUGAUGGAAAGAUGCACAAGUUCAUAGUCGGCGAUCAGUUGCAUGAGAAAUCAGAUGAUAUUUAUCGAGUACUUGGUGAGAUGGAGAACAAGAUGAGGCUUGCUGGAUACAUGGCUGACAAGAGCUGUGUUUUGAGAGACAUUGAGGAAGAAGAAAAGGAAGAAAUGAUAGGAAGCCAUAGCGAGAAAUUGGCUGUUGCUUUUGCACUUCUAGUGAGUGAACCGGGAUCAGUGAUACGAGUGGUAAAGAACCUCAGGAUCUGUAGGGAUUGUCACACUGCUAUAAAGAUCAUAUCAAAGUUAGAGAAAAGGGAGAUUAUUGUUAGAGACAACAAUAGGUUUCACUGCUUCAAAGAUGGGUUAUGUUCCUGCAAGGACUACUGGUAAUAUUUGUGUUGCAUUGAUUAUUUGGUAGCUGCACAUUGGAACAUGAGGUUAGAGCACAAAAGGCAUCGGUCUCCGUCUAGUGCCCCCACACCGUCUAGUUUUUCUGAUUAGAGCACAUAACAUUUUUCAAGCCUAUAAACUCCUAUUUGUUUACAAUGAAAGCCAUCAACUCAUGCCUCUCAGAGCAUUCUGAGAUUGACAGUAUGGUCUACAAUACUGGGAUCUCUGCCACAAUAGAUACUCAGGUAAGGUAGAUUGGGCAAAGGCAUGAAUGGGCGAGGAAGGAGGCAAUUUGCAAAUGAAAAUGAGUCAAGGAAGCACAAAACGAAGGCAUAAGGGCACGAAGCAAGCCAAGGAGCAGAAUGGGAGCUUAGGAGAAAACCAGGAGACACCCAAGGUCACAAUCAUGGCCGUGACUGUGACCGUGACCUUCCCAUAGCAUUUUCUAAUCCCUGGGCUCUCACUAAUACUCAUGGCCAUGAGCGUCAACAUGAGGCCACAGAAAGUUCCCUGGGAUGGUCACGGUCACCCACCUGGUCGUAACCUCGAUCGGGAGGUCUGGAAUCUGCACCGUGCUCCUAGUGGUCACGAUCGACCUCUCGGCUGGGGGAGAUAGGUCAUGACUACGCGUCCAGAAUUUGCUAAGUUGGCUUCUUUGGUGCGAAUUGGAGGGUAUAAAUAAGCUUAGGCGGUUAAUUUUUAGAUUAUUUUACAUUUUUAUAUUCUCUCUAAGUUUUCCUAAUGAGAAAAUCUCUCCACGACCUCUCUUCUUGUAAUCAUUCCAAAUUUGAUGAAGAAUUAAAGUUGAUUUAAGCUUGUAAUUCAUUUUGGUUUCAAUUUGAA
Molecule: RNA transcript, 3120 nt
Organism: Ipomoea triloba (trilobed morning glory)
Lineage: Eukaryota; Viridiplantae; Streptophyta; Magnoliopsida; Solanales; Convolvulaceae
Gene name: pentatricopeptide repeat-containing protein At1g14470
Exons: 2
Source: RefSeq, a predicted model, not a curated record